GGAAUAAAUCCGUUUUUGUCUUCGCGGAAUGGACGACACAACAGUAGUGACGCCUAAACAGCGUCCAAGCGAUGUAUCGUCUGAGCAGUGCCACAAAAGCUCCAUCAACCUGUGAGGGUUGGAGCACUGACUGUGGUGCGUACAAAUAGCUGCUGCCACCGAAACUAGUUUUUCGCAUUUCUUGUUUCACGCUCGAGUUCUACGCUCGAAGGCUUGCUCUGCAGUACCGGGGAUAAGCAGAUGUGGCACCGCGGCGGAGCCGCGAGCAAAGAAACUGCGUAAGCGUCCCUCAAAAGUAAGUGAAUCCGCUUAAAAUUCAACACCCUGCAACCGCCCCCGCCAAGCCCGGUACAGCUUCCCGUGGAUGAAGACUCCAUUAUCCCCUCGCGACCAACGUUACAAACGGAACCACAAAAGAAUCACUUCUUUUCGGCAAUUUCGAGGGAGCAUCCCUUUCUGGGAAUUGCGAUGUGGCAACGGCUCGGUACACUGGCGUCCACUAGUGUCAGUGAGCUUGUCAGCCGCCGCUUUGCAUUUCAAUUCUACGCGUUGCCCGGAAGAUCAUUCGGCCUAGCGAAAAAGGACACGCGCGUUCCUUUUUGAUUCGUCGAACCACUACACAUCAUCGCUUAUUUCGAGCUACUGCGACAAAAACUACGUUGGAAGCCUUCUUUGAGGACACAGGAGGCAUUUGAAUCAUAUCGAUCUCCGAGAAAAUGCAGGUGAGUUUCGGUUCCUGGUUGGGGUCCGCGUUUCAGAAGUGAACGUCCGCUCUCGUACAACUGAAUCGGGCGCAACUCUUCCACUCCCAACUCAUUCUAGAAUGUGUCUACCGCAGCAGAGUUCCGAACGCUUGAAUGGUAUCUCCAGCCACUUCGAGGAAAUAUUGACUGACACCGCGCGCUAGACGAUUAGGGAAGCGUUCUGCGAUCGCACUCAGAUUCAGUCACGAGGGGUACCCGUUGGUUGCGCGGUCGGGGCUGAAGAAUCAGUUGCGGGAUCCCCAGCUGGGGGUUCGAGAUAGUACUCCGGAGGAGGUUUGAAUCUCGGGGUAAUAUCCAAAGCUCUUCGCAGGAAAUCGUGUUCGGCGGUACUUUCUAAAUCCGCCUUCCGCUGAGCAGGUCUGCGACCCACUGGACUCCCUGAGCUGAGAGUCUGUUCGGCCUGUUGAGGCACUCGCACCCGUGCUUGUCUCCUCUCCAGGAAGUCGCUCCAAAAGGCUUCGUCGUAGUCUAAAUCUACGUCAUAGCUAUCAUCCCCUUCCCACUCCGUCCAGCCGUAGUACAACAGUCUUAAAAAGAAUGCGGCUGCAGCUACUCCCAGCAACAUUUUCCCCUUGGACUGGUGGCGACGGAGCCACGAAAAGAAACCCCUUGACGUCUUCGUCCGCAUUUCUGAGUCAUCUUGAGUUGCCCACGUGCUUCUUUUCCUGCUCCUGCGCCUACGAGGCGACGUCCGUCGACCAAUGAUGCUGAUUCCCCCUGAAUCUUCUCGUUCUUCCUGUUUGAAGGAGACGGUGGCCUCUCGCAGAGGAAAAUAUUCGGCAGUCAACAACUUCAGAUACUCUUGAACCGCCUCUUCAGCUUGACGUCGGUUAAGAGUAUCCGAGCGGGUUGACUGCGGGGAAAUCCAUUCUUCUGUGGCGACCUCUUUCGGAUCAACCGCACGUACCUUAUCCCGUCGCCUACUUUGGCGAGGAGAGUCAUUUUCGGGUGGUGUCCAUGCGUCUUUGUCUCUCUCUGAUUCAUGGAUUUCCUGUGGAACUCCGGGAGCGAAGUGAGAGUCAUUGGGUACCCGUGUCUCAUCGACAGCGGAUGCCGCCACUUCACAAAAGACUUCCAGGAAACAAACAAGAAGUACAAAGAGUGAC
Molecule: long non-coding RNA, 1870 nt
Filed under: Toxoplasma gondii VEG
Lineage: Eukaryota; Apicomplexa; Conoidasida; Eucoccidiorida; Sarcocystidae
Source: RNAcentral